CAGCGAGAGAGAGAGAGAGAGAGGAAGAGAGGGAGAGAGACAGAUGUCGGCGGUGAAGGCGGUGCGACGGGUCCAGGAACGGGGCAAUGGGUUCUUCGACCCCGAUCUAGGGAACGCCCUUGUACCCGAUCUCUGUGUCGUAAAUAAGAGCUCGUCGCUGUGGGAGCUCCUCGUCCAGAUCAUGGCAUCUCGCGUCAUCUCUCCCAUUCACGCCCUCGCCCUCCUCAUCUCACGCGCCGGGACUGCAUAAAUGGAUCACCUGUAAAUACAUUAGAUGAUUCUUUUCAAAGGCCAAUGCUUCCUGGAUGGAAUAUUAAAAGUGGUUGUGUUUGUUCUUGAAGCUGUUUUGACUGCAUGUGCACAAGGGAAGCAUCCAAGGAAUUGACUACAGGUUUGAUGCAUUUAUUUCUUGAUUGAAUUUCCUUCUUGUUUGCAUUUGCUAUCUUUUAUUCUUUGUGUUUUAGGACACCUAGCUCUUCAUUUUUUAUCUUCCAGAUUUCAAUAUAUAUGUCAUAUAAAAUUGUUGGUUAGGCAGAGGAAACUCCAUCUAUAUAAUUUGGUUUCUAGUGCUACAAAAAUUUGUAAUAAUAGAAGAAUGAUAAAGAGUUGCUUUGAGAGGUAAGAACAUUGCAGUAAUUAGUUAAUGAUCACAGAUUGAAAACAAGUAUUUAUUUUAUCUCACAUUAAAGCAUAGAUGUUUUUGUCUUGCAAUGCUAUUUAAGAUAUAGGCAAACGACAUUCAUGUUCUAAUCUAUGUAUGUCUGCUCAAAUGUCACGGACCAGGAGUGAUGAAGGCAUGCCAGCACUGCAUAGCUCAAAGCUGAUGUUGACUGGCAUGGAGGGUUUUGUUUGUGUGAAUUGAAAUUUUGUUCCCGCUAACUAUCAUCUCUGUCAGGUUGUGGAAUUCAAUUUUAGAUUGUCUUGAAAUAUUCUCCAAAUAGACCAAACAUUGAAAAAAAAAAAAGGGGGGGAAGAAAAUGAAUUACUUGUGUGUUCUUAGAUGUUAUUCUAUUGCACUGUUGGUGAUUUUAACUAGGUUGUUAGGCUCUGCUGUAAAACUUCAGAGAGUUGGGAAAACAGUUUGGAUUGGUUGGUCCUGUCUGAUCUCACCUAGCAGAACAUUUCAUUUAUUUUGUUCUAUUGUUCUGUCUUGUUUGCUUUUA
Musa acuminata AAA Group (dessert banana) is the source of this 1163-nucleotide long non-coding RNA. RefSeq lists it as uncharacterized. The record is from RefSeq and is a predicted model, not a curated record. The transcript is spliced from 2 exons. Lineage: Eukaryota; Viridiplantae; Streptophyta; Magnoliopsida; Zingiberales; Musaceae.